CUUUCCCCCACUUCAAGUGGGUACUUCCCUUUCCAGGCGGGAGCCUCUCCCUCUAGGUGAGAGAUUGCCACUCCAAGAGCAAGCUCCUUCUCAGGUGAGAGCCAAUCCUUGGCUUCCCCAUACCAGGCCUGAGCCAUCUACAACCUGAACCCUGGGGCUGGAGGCCCAGGGGCAAGCUUGGCCCCAACACUUUCCUUCCCUUAGAGGGGAGGGUCUCAUCUGAGGCCUGAGGCUUGGGAAAGGAGUUGCUUGAGGACCUGGACCGCUGGUUUGCUGGACCCCUUCCCUGAGUGUGCUCUCAGCCAGCAGUGGGCUCCCGGGGCAGCUGGAGGAGGACCUGGGGACUGGACAGGGAUUGGCUAGGGGAGAGGGAUUGGGUGGGGGAGGGAGCAGCCUGGGACCUGGACUGGUAGAACACUCAGCACGGGCAGCCACAUCUUGGCUGGAGGUAUAGAUAGUGCUCAUCCUGCGGUCCCUACUUGGGGGACUUUGUCCUAGAAAGAGGCUUUCUCACCAGCCAAAGUUCAGGUACUGCCCCUGUCUGAGUUUGGGCAUGUGGCCCACAGAUGCCAGCUGGGGGCUGGAAUACUGUACCUUGAUCUUAGGGCCCAGAAAAAUCAGGUAGGUAACUCUCUGGUCCUAGGUGGAGGUGUAGGGGAGGUUGGGCCAGGGAUGCCCUCACUGUAUCUCUUUGGUCUUGCCACCCCAGACCGAGGGACACGCAGGCACUGCUGUCUGCAACACAAGCAAUGGAGCUGCGGAGGCGAGACUACCACAUGGAACGGCCGCUGCUGAACCAGGAGCAUUUGGAGGAGCUGGGGCGCUGGGGCUCAGCACCUAGGACCCGCCAGUGGCAGACCUGGUUGCAGUGCUCCCGUGCUCGGGCCCGUGCCCUUCUACUCCAACACCUCCCGGUUUUGGUCUGGUUACCCCGGUAUCCUGUGCGUGACUGGCUCGUGGGUGACCUGUUAUCCGGCCUGAGUGUGGCCAUCAUGCAGCUUCCACAGGGCUUGGCCUACGCCCUCCUGGCUGGAUUGCCCCCUGUGUUUGGCCUCUAUAGCUCCUUCUACCCCGUCUUCAUCUACUUCCUGUUUGGCACUUCCCGGCACAUCUCUGUGGGUAAGUGGAGGCAGGCCUAGCCUUCCAGGAGGAUGCCCACAUCCAUCAUGGAGGGCAGGGUGAGGCGGCACUGAGCAGGGCAGGAGCGGCUGGGGAAGAGGGCAGCAUUGGUGCUGCAUCCCUGAGCUAGCCCACGCGUCAUCCCCAGGCAGGACUAGACCCCUGACUGUAGGACCACAGAGGCAGGGGACCUCAAAGCCCUGGCUCCAGGAAGAUGUGAGUAGGUGAGGCAGCCCAAGGGGCCUGGAACUUGGCAGAGGCCUGAGCAGCCUGAGGCAAGCCCUGACCCCUUCCCUACUCCACAGAGAGCCUCUGUGUCCCUGGACCAGUAGACACAGGUGGGACAGGGUAGAUGAGGCAGGGCCAGCAUUUCUAGCCACGCUUAAGGGCCCGUGAGCUCAGGGUUCACUCCUGGCCUGGCCAAACCGGAACCGCCAGCACUGUCCCUGUUCAUGCAGCCAUAAUCUGAGUACAUUUGUCCAGAACUGGAAAUCUCCUGGCCUCUCUCUUAAGACCAGGGCUCCAGGGCAAGGCAGUGUCCUCUCCCCUUCAGACCUGCCCCGUGCCGUCCUUACAGGGACCUUUGCUGUCAUGUCUGUGAUGGUGGGCAGUGUGACAGAAUCCCUGGCCCCGCAGGCCUUGAACGACUCCAUGAUCAAUGAGACAGCCAGAGACGCUGCCCGGGUACAGGUGGCCUCCACGCUCAGUGUCCUGGUUGGCCUCUUCCAGGUGUGGAACAGUCAGGAAUAUGUGCCCCCCACCACUUCUGCUCCCGCCACUGCCCCGUCUGUACUCCCCUGAGUGUCUGACCAUCGUCGUCCUCCUCUCGCCAUCCACUCAUCCCCCUCCCAUCCCACUUGCCCUGCGCUCCUCAUCAGCAACCCCAGGACCCCUGCCUCUCCUGACUGCCCCUGGCCGCCCCACAGGUGGGGCUGGGCCUGAUCCACUUCGGCUUCGUGGUCACCUACCUGUCAGAGCCUCUUGUCCGAGGCUAUACCACAGCUGCAGCUGUGCAGGUCUUCGUCUCACAGCUCAAGUAUGUGUUUGGCCUCCAUCUGAGCAGCCACUCUGGGCCACUGUCCCUCAUCUAUGUGAGUGAGGGUGGGAGGAGGGAGGGGUAGGUGUGCCCCAUGGCCUUGAGUGCUGGCUGUGACCCGGCCUCUCCUCAGACAGUGCUGGAGGUCUGCCGGAAGCUGCCCCAGAGCAAGGUUGGCACCGUGGUCACUGCAGCUGUGGCUGGGGUGGUGCUCGUGGUGGUGAAGCUGUUGAAUGACAAGCUGCAGCAGCAGCUGCCCAUACCGAUACCCGGGGAGCUGCUCACGGUUCGAGGGCCAGGGAGUGGCGGGCAGGGGAGAAGGGCAGGUCAGGCUGGGUCCCUGCCACGUGGGCAGCCUUCUGUAUUUGAGGGCCAGCUGGAGGGGGGCUGGGAGGGUUCUUGGGUAUUGUGGGGGGCACAGCAGAAAGCCCCUAUGUUGGUUUCUUCCUGCCCCUGACAGCAUCUCCCCAUAGCCGAAAUGGUGUUGCCUGCCUCUCACCCUACGUGACUUUUUCCCACCCCUGAAGAAGGUUUUGCCCAGUGUCUCCCUCCUCACCCCACAGUGGUUUAUGUGUCCCCCUGACCAGGAUGCCAGCAUCUGCCUCCCUGACUCUGUCCUCUCCCACAGCUCAUCGGGGCCACAGGCAUCUCCUAUGGCAUGGGUCUGAAGCACAGAUUUGAGGUAGAUGUCGUGGGCAACAUCCCUGCAGGGUGAGCUCUGGCCUCCAUCAGGUCAGGGAGGGUUGGGCAGCCAGGCCAGGACCUUGCUUUGGCCUCACGGAUACCUCUCACAGGCUGGUGCCCCCAGUGGCCCCCAACACUCAGCUGUUCUCAAAGCUCGUGGGCAGCGCCUUCACCAUCGCUGUGGUUGGGUUCGCCAUUGCCAUCUCGCUGGGGAAGAUCUUCGCCCUGAGGCACGGCUACCGGGUGGACAGCAACCAGGAGCUGGUGGCCCUGGGCCUCAGUAACCUCAUCGGAGGCAUCUUCCAGUGCUUCCCCGUGAGUUGCUCUAUGUCUCGGAGCCUGGUACAGGAGAGCACCGGGGGCAACUCGCAGGUUGCUGGAGCCAUCUCUUCCCUUUUCAUCCUCCUCAUCAUUGUCAAACUUGGGGAACUCUUCCAUGACCUGCCCAAGGCGGUCCUGGCAGCCAUCAUCAUUGUGAACCUGAAGGGCAUGCUGCGGCAGCUCAGCGACGUGCGUUCCCUCUGGAAGGCCAAUCGGGCGGAUCUGCUUAUCUGGCUGGUGACCUUCACGGCCACCAUCCUGCUGAACCUGGACCUUGGCUUGGUGGUUGCGGUCAUCUUCUCCCUGCUGCUCGUGGUGGUCCGGACACAGAUGCCCCACUACUCUGUCCUGGGGCAGGUCCCAGACACGGAUAUUUACAGAGAUGUGGCAGAGUACUCAGAGUGCGGGGUAGAUGUCGACUUCCUUAUCUCCCAGAAGAAGAAACUGCUCAAGAAGCGGGAGCAGCUGAAGCUGAAGCAACUGCAGAAAGAGGAGAAGCUUCAGAAACAGGCAGGGCCCCUUUUGUCUGGUGACCCCUGUCUCCUGCCCCCUUCUCCCUGCCCCAGCCUUUCUCCUGGCCCCCGACUCCUCCCUCGUCCUCACUCCUCAUCCCUUCCCCUUUCUCCCUCAUGCUCCCAGGGACCCUGCCUCACUCCCCUAGCAGGUCUGGGCUCUAGGCAGCAUUUUCUCUCCCAUCAUCUGAACCAGUGACAGUGAGAACCGUCACAGUCCUCUUCCCUUUCACGGCUGUUCCAGGAGCUUCAGCCUGGCUGCUGCAGGUCCCAUAGCUUCUGGUUCUGGCCCACCUACCUGCCCAGCACCAGGGGGCAUCACCAGGCCUAUGUGACAUGGCUGUCAUGGCAGCCGGGAUAGCUGUUUCCCAUUCCCUGUCUUCCCUGGUGUAGGCUGCCUCCUCCAAGGGCGCCUCAGUUUCCAUUAAUGUCAACACCAGCCUUGAAGACAUGAGGAGCAACAACGUUGAGGACUGCAAGACGAUGGUGAGACUGGAGGUGGGAAAGGAGGUGACAGCUGUGAGCUGCAGAGAUGCAGGAUCCACACGUCUCAUGAGGAAUGCCAUGGACCCAGCAGCUGUGGGCUCGAGGGUGUUGCGCUGAUGGCAGGAGGAGUGGAGGCUGGAUCAGAUAUUCUUCAGAGAGAGUCGUGAUAUGCCACAGAAUCUAGGCUUAGAUUCUCAGGCCUAGAUGAAGACCUUGAAUUUGUAGAUGCCACAAGACUCCCCCCAGAGUCUGCUCAUGGAUAGAGGAAAGGGAUUGGGUAUAUGAGAGAAAAUCAAGGGGUCAAAGGCAGGCGUGGUGGUAUGCGCCUGUAGUCCCAGCUCUUCGGGAGGCUAAGGCGGGAAAAUCAUUUGAGCCCAGGAGCUCGGGGCUGCAGUGCGCUCUAAUGGUGCCUGUGAAUAACCACUGCAUUCAGCCUGGGCAAUGAAGUGAGACCCUGUCUCUAAAAAAAAAAAUUUAGGGAUCAAAGAGGAUGCCAAACUUAAUUAGAGACUCAGACAGGGCAGGGUGCCGAGGUGUCUGCGUGUGUUUCAUGUGGAUGCCUGUGUCUAUUCUGGCCUGCUCCUGGGCCCCCUCCCCACUCAGCCCUGGCUGAUGAGAAUGGGACAGGGUCUCCCAGCACCGUCCCUUCUCGUGUCCCUGUGCAGCCUCGGCCCAGGAGGUAGCAGAGCAGUAGGUGUGCCCUCCUGCGUGUCCCCACACAUCUGUCAUUCCUGUCUUUGCACACCUAUGUGACUCCCCCAUGUUUGUGUCCUUAAGUGUCCCGUGCAUGCUCCGCAUCUGACCUUGCGUGUUCCCGCACGUCUGUGUGUGGCCAGUCCUGCCUUCACCCUCUCAUGGGUGGCCCUGGCAGCAUGUCUGGCUCCCCAGCAGGUGAGCCCAGGAGAUAAGAUGGAAGAUGCAACAGCCAAUGGUCAAGAAGACUCCAAGGCCCCAGAUGGGUCCACACUGAAGGCCCUGGGCCUGCCUCAGCCAGACUUCCACAGCCUCAUCCUGGACCUGGGUGCCCUCUCCUUUGUGGACACUGUGUGCCUCAAGAGCCUGAAGAAUAUUUUCCAUGACUUCCGGGAGAUCGAGGUGGAGGUGUACAUGGCGGCCUGCCAAAGCCCUGUGGUCAGCCAGCUUGAGGCUGGGCACUUCUUCGAUGCAUCCAUCACCAAGAAGCAUCUCUUUGCCUCUGUCCAUGAUGCUGUCACCUUUGCCCUCCAACACCCGAGGCCUGUCCCCGACAGCCCUGUUUCGGUCACCAGACUCUGAACAUGCUGCAUCCUGCCCAAGACUGCACCUCUGGAGGUGCAGGGCACCCUUGAGAAGCCCCUCACCCCUAGGCCGCCUCCAGGUGCUACCCAGGAGUCCCCUCCAUGUACACACACGCAACUCAGGGAAGGAGGUCCUGGGACUCCAAGUUCAGCACUCCAGGUCUGGGACAGGGCCUGCAUGCAGUCAGGCUGGCAGUGGCGGGGUACAGGGAGGGAACUGGUGCAUAUUUUAGCCUCAGGAAUAAAGAUUUGUCUGCUC
This 5694-nucleotide small RNA is filed under the name Pongo abelii (Sumatran orangutan). RNAcentral's name for it is "retained intron". The record is from RNAcentral. Lineage: Eukaryota; Metazoa; Chordata; Mammalia; Primates; Hominidae.